Molecule: unclassified non-coding RNA, 883 nt
Filed under: uncultured bacterium
Lineage: Bacteria
Description: partial contains 16S ribosomal RNA, 16S-23S ribosomal RNA intergenic spacer
Rfam family: Bacterial small subunit ribosomal RNA (bases 1-257)
Source: RNAcentral
AAACCGUGGCUCAGUUCAGAUCGUAGGCUGCAACUCGCUUACGUGAAGUAGGAAUCGCUAGUAAUCGCAGGUCAGCAUACUGCGGUGAAUACGUCCCCGGGCCUUGUACACACCGCCCGUCACACCAUGGAAGUUGGCCAUGCCCGAAGUCGUUACUCCAACCCUUGUGGAGGAGGACGCCGAAGGUGGGGCUAAUGACUGGGGUGAAGUCGUAACAAGGUAGCCGUACCGGAAGGUGCGGCUGGAUCACCUCCUAACAGGGAGACAACAAAAUGUUUAAUAUUAUUAUUUUGUCACCUUAGGUCGAUCGGUAUCUCACGUUCUUAAUUUAUUAAGAAUUUCAUUUCCUAAGUUUUUCUAGGUCACACCCAUCAUUUUCCUGGGCCAUUAGCUCAGGUGGUUAGAGCGCACCCCUGAUAAGGGUGAGGUCCCUGGUUCAAGUCCAGGAUGGCCCAUAUCUCUAUGUUGGGGGUAUAGCUCAGUUGGUAGAGCGCCUGCUUUGCAAGCAGGAUGUCAGCGGUUCGAGUCCGCUUACCUCCACUGAUUACCACCUCUUCCAUAAUCUAUAGAAAGGAAAAAUUUUGAGUUGUGAUCAAAAUUCUGAACGAAUCUAGCUUCCUAAUGAAAACAUUAAGAUGCUGGACUCAUUGAAUUAAUUUCAUUGUUUUCAGAGAACCUUGACAACUGCAUAGAUUAUUUUUAAAGACAAUAAGCAUCUUUAAUGAUGCAGAUUUAUUAUUUGUGCAAAUGCAUUAAUAACAAUUCUAUUAAGCUGAUGCUUCAAUUAUGAAGUUAUUGGUCAAGCUACAAAGGGCUCACGGAGGAUACCUAGGCACACAGAGGCGAUGAAGGACGUGGUUACCUGCGAUAAGUCUCGGGGAGU